Molecule: ribosomal RNA, 81 nt
Filed under: Bacteroides fragilis
Lineage: Bacteria; Pseudomonadati; Bacteroidota; Bacteroidia; Bacteroidales; Bacteroidaceae
Source: RNAcentral
UCAGGUGACUAUAGCAUCAGGGUUCCACCUCUUCCCAUUCCGAACAGAGAAGUUAAGCCUGAUCACGCCGAUGGUACUGCG